This is a long non-coding RNA of Dermacentor silvarum, 219 nucleotides long. RefSeq lists it as uncharacterized. The transcript has 3 exons. NCBI's taxonomy places the organism in Eukaryota, Metazoa, Arthropoda, Arachnida, Ixodida, Ixodidae. The record is from RefSeq and is a predicted model, not a curated record.
UUUUUCAGAGUUCAUGCGUAACGACGCAAAGAUGUUCAAUCAGCUAUGCUGUAAUACUGGUCUCUAUUGCAGAGAUUACAGAGAAGACAUCCAAGAGGAGCCAGCCGAGAUACCACCUGCACUAAUAGAUGCCACAGAACAAAUUGAGGAAACAGUAGAGGUUCCACCAGCGAAACGCCCGAGGACAUCGAGGAAUCGCAAACAAAGUGAAGAUUCGAG